AGCAUACCCCCUCCGUCCAGAAAUACUUGUCAUCAGAAUAAAUAAAAGAGGAUGUACGUAGAUGUAUUUUAGUUUUAGAUACACUCCUUUUUGUUUAUUUUGAUGACAAGUAUUUUCGGACGGAGAGAGUAGAAG
Triticum aestivum (bread wheat) is the source of this 135-nucleotide non-coding RNA. The record is from Rfam. NCBI's taxonomy places the organism in Eukaryota, Viridiplantae, Streptophyta, Magnoliopsida, Poales, Poaceae.